AUUACGGGUGAUGGGAAGCUCAGCCAGGUCCAAAUCGUAAUGAAUCAAUGCAGGAGUCCCCUCAGCACAGCACCAUUGACUUAACAAGGGGACGACCAGAUAAAAGUCUAUUUGAUACUUCCAUCUGUCUGCCGGCUUAAAUCAAAUACUCGAGACCCCUCCAGCGGCGUGUUACUUUGGACUUGAUCCUUAUCAGCCUGCUUGGAAUGCCGAAGGCCAAAACAGUUGCGGUCUUCCUGAUGACUAUCUCCUUUUUUGCCCCGCUUUGUUAUCAAAAGUAAAAGAAGGAUAAGGAUAAAAACACGUAAAAGGUUACUUGCAUAAAUAUAUUGUGUAAUAUACUUUUUUUUACAAUUAAAUCCUGUAUGUACUAAAAUAAUAAUGCACAAUUAUUGAGGUAUCAUUUUAGAUAUGUAUAUGUUUUCUUACUUUUUUUAUUUUUAAAGGCUUCUUUGCCAAUAUUUCAACAAGUACAUAAUUAGAUAUGCGUUAUAAAAAU
Molecule: long non-coding RNA, 499 nt
Organism: Cimex lectularius (bed bug)
Lineage: Eukaryota; Metazoa; Arthropoda; Insecta; Hemiptera; Cimicidae
Exons: 2
Source: RefSeq, a predicted model, not a curated record